This 791-nucleotide ribosomal RNA is filed under the name uncultured bacterium. RNAcentral's name for it is "bacterial SSU rRNA". It matches the Rfam family "Bacterial small subunit ribosomal RNA", at positions 8 to 796 of the family's 1533-position model. The record is from RNAcentral.
AGAGUUUGAUCAUGGCUCAGAUUGAACGCUGGCGGCAUGCCUUACACAUGCAAGUCGAACGGCAGCACGGGGGCAACCCUGGUGGCGAGUGGCGAACGGGUGAGUAAUACAUCGGAACGUGUCCUGUCGUGGGGGAUAACCAGUCGAAAGACUGGCUAAUACCGCAUGAGAUCGAGAGAUGAAAGCAGGGGACCGCAAGGCCUUGCGCGAUUGGAGCGGCCGAUGUCGGAUUAGCUAGUUGGCGGGGUAAAAGCCCACCAAGGCUACGAUCCGUAGCUGGUUUGAGAGAACGACCAGCCACACUGGGACUGAGACACGGCCCAGACUCCUACGGGAGGCAGCAGUGGGGAAUUUUGGACAAUGGGGGCAACCCUGAUCCAGCCAUGCCGCGUGUGUGAAGAAGGCCUUCGGGUUGUAAAGCACUUUCGGACGGAACGAAAUCGCGCGGGUGAAUAUCCCGCGUGGAUGACGGUACUGUAAGAAGAAGCACCGGCUAACUACGUGCCAGCAGCCGCGGUAAUACGUAGGGUGCGAGCGUUAAUCGGAAUUACUGGGCGUAAAGCGUGCGCAGGCGGCUUCGCAAGUCAGACGUGAAAUCCCCGGGCUUAACCUGGGAAUGGCGUUUGAAACUACGGAGCUGGAGUGUGGCAGAGGGAGGUAGAAUUCCACGUAGCGGUGAAAUGCGUAGAUAUGUGGAGGAAUACCGAUGGCGAAGGCAGCCUCCUGGGCCAACACUGACGCUCAUGCACGAAAGCGUGGGGAGCAAACAGGAUUAGAUACCCCAGUAGUCC